RNAcentral lists this ribosomal RNA (1082 nucleotides) under bacterium. Its description in RNAcentral is "bacterial SSU rRNA". It matches the Rfam family "Bacterial small subunit ribosomal RNA", at positions 72 to 1167 of the family's 1533-position model. The record is from RNAcentral.
AAGAGAGCUUGCUCUCUGGAUCAGUGGCGAACGGGUGAGUAACACGUGAGCAAUCUGCCCUUGACUCUGGGAUAAGCGCUGGAAACGGCGUCUAAUACCGGAUACGAGCUGUGAAGGCAUCUUCAACAGCUGGAAAGAACUUCGGUCAAGGAUGAGCUCGCGGCCUAUCAGCUAGUUGGUGAGGUAAUGGCUCACCAAGGCGUCGACGGGUAGCCGGCCUGAGAGGGUGACCGGCCACACUGGGACUGAGACACGGCCCAGACUCCUACGGGAGGCAGCAGUGGGGAAUAUUGCACAAUGGGCGCAAGCCUGAUGCAGCAACGCCGCGUGAGGGACGACGGCCUUCGGGUUGUAAACCUCUUUUAGCAGGGAAGAAGCGAAAGUGACGGUACCUGCAGAAAAAGCACCGGCUAACUACGUGCCAGCAGCCGCGGUAAUACGUAGGGUGCAAGCGUUAUCCGGAAUUAUUGGGCGUAAAGAGCUCGUAGGCGGUUUGUCGCGUCUGCUGUGAAAACUGGGGGCUCAACCCCCAGCCUGCAGUGGGUACGGGCAGACUAGAGUGCGGUAGGGGAGAUUGGAAUUCCUGGUGUAGCGGUGGAAUGCGCAGAUAUCAGGAGGAACACCGAUGGCGAAGGCAGAUCUCUGGGCCGUAACUGACGCUGAGGAGCGAAAGGGUGGGGAGCAAACAGGCUUAGAUACCCUGGUAGUCCACCCCGUAAACGUUGGGAACUAGUUGUGGGGACCAUUCCACGGUCUCCGUGACGCAGCUAACGCAUUAAGUUCCCCGCCUGGGGAGUACGGCCGCAAGGCUAAAACUCAAAGGAAUUGACGGGGACCCGCACAAGCGGCGGAGCAUGCGGAUUAAUUCGAUGCAACGCGAAGAACCUUACCAAGGCUUGACAUAUACGAGAACGGGCUAGAAAUAGUCAACUCUUUGGACACUCGUAAACAGGUGGUGCAUGGUUGUCGUCAGCUCGUGUCGUGAGAUGUUGGGUUAAGUCCCGCAACGAGCGCAACCCUCGUUCUAUGUUGCCAGCACGUAAUGGUGGGAACUCAUGGGAUACUGCCGGGGUCAACUCGGA